AUGACGACGCCGCCAAAGAUGACGAGGCCCCGAGCUCGAGCACGACCACUACGACGCACUACACAAAGGCCCCUGCUUCUUGCCUGCCCUUCCCUUUGCUUGGAAGAUAGCUCUCUUCAGAUGUUGUUCCUGUCCUUCUCCUUGGUUGUUGAGCGCUGCACUCACUCAUGUAUGCAGGUUGAGUCCAAGCACAAUAGGCGAGAAGACGACGGUGACGCAGAGGAGGACGAGGACCCGCGCUCCAGCCCGACCACGACUAUGCACCGCACGGUCCCUGCUUCCUGGCUGUCGCCAAUUGCCCCCUUCCCUUUACAGUACUACUCUAUUUGUUUUCAUUGCUUUUCACCCAGUUUUGCACACUUUCUGGCCCUUCACUUUUUUGUGUGCAAAUGUUCUGAUCGCCUCCAUAUGGCUGUUUCCGUCCUCCUGCUCAUGCUGUCUCCAUCCUCCUGCUCAAGUAGUCGCGGUCGCCUCCCAUCCUUCAUGGCCUGCGUGUGUGCGCCCACUGUUGGAGGACGACGUUGA
RNAcentral lists this ribosomal RNA (525 nucleotides) under Triticum aestivum (bread wheat). RNAcentral describes it as "partial small subunit ribosomal RNA". The record is from RNAcentral. Lineage: Eukaryota; Viridiplantae; Streptophyta; Magnoliopsida; Poales; Poaceae.